AGAGAUUAAAUUAUACAUACUAAGGUAAAAAGGCAGUUAAAUAUUUAAUAAUUUAAAAAAGUUUACUGAUUUCUUAUAUAAGAGUAAAAUCUAUACAUAAGUGAAUAAUUUAAAAUAAACUUACAAUAUUGAUUCUGCGAUAGCCUUGAGGGAAACUGGGAUUAGAUACCCCAUUAUUCUUGGCUGUAAAUUGACAUAAGUUUACCGGAGUACUAUGAAUCAUUUAAUAAAAUUUAAAACUCAAAGGGCUUGGCGGUGUUUUAGACCUCUCAGGGGAACCUGUCUCAUAAUCGACAAUCCGCGUUAGACCUAACCUUUUUUUGCAAUCCAGUUUGUAUACCGUCGUCGUCAGGUAACUUUUAAAAAAUUAGAAGUUGGCAACAAAAUAAUUGUGAAUUUAAACGUCAGAUCAAGGUGCAGCCUAUAUAAAGGUGAGGAUGGGUUACAAUUAUAACUUAUAAUUACGAAUAAAAUAAUGAAACAUUUAUUUUAAUGAAGGAGGACUUGAAAGUAAAAUAAAUUAUAUAAAUAAUUUGAAUAAGGCUCUGAAACAUGC
Molecule: ribosomal RNA, 556 nt
Filed under: Argobuccinum pustulosum
Lineage: Eukaryota; Metazoa; Mollusca; Gastropoda; Littorinimorpha; Ranellidae
Description: partial 12S ribosomal RNA
Source: RNAcentral